GGGGUCUGCAACUCGACCCCAUGAAGUCGGAGUCGCUAGUAAUCGCAGAUCAGCAACGCUGCGGUGAAUACGUUCCCGGGCCUUGUACACACCGCCCGUCAAGUCACGAAAGUUGGUAACACCCGAAGCCGGUGG
Molecule: ribosomal RNA, 135 nt
Filed under: Arthrobacter sp. 31Cvi3.1E
Lineage: Bacteria; Bacillati; Actinomycetota; Actinomycetes; Micrococcales; Micrococcaceae
Description: 16S rRNA. Bacterial SSU
Rfam family: Bacterial small subunit ribosomal RNA
Source: RNAcentral